RNAcentral lists this long non-coding RNA (488 nucleotides) under Vitis vinifera (wine grape). RNAcentral's name for it is "long non-coding RNA (VVIN_LNC005690)". The record is from RNAcentral. Lineage: Eukaryota; Viridiplantae; Streptophyta; Magnoliopsida; Vitales; Vitaceae.
AGAUGGUUGUGGCUUUGAAUAACAGGAAAAUCAACUCCACCAAUGGUCUAAUUUGAAGAAGAUGUGAGGGAGAGUGACUGACCUUUCUGGAGGAAAUGGUUUUCGAGGCAGGUGGAAGAGUAGGCUUCUGGGUAGCCAUGGAAUGAAUGAGAAGUGGCGAGAAAGUAGGUGGAGGGGGUUUCUCUCUUCUUUUAACAGUAGAAGUGAUGAAUGAUGCCGAUGAUGCCGAUGAUAAUCCUCUGCUGCUCCCACCGAAUGCAAUGGCUUUCACUUCCAUUUUUUUUUUCUCUUUUUUCCCUUUUCUUCUGGUGAGUUUUGGUGCCUUUGUUGGAGGAAUCAGGCUGCCCUUUCUCUUUCUCUGUCUCAUCUCUCCCCAGCCAGCCUCAUUGAGUGGACGAGGGAUGGAUUGCUCUUGUCCACGUGUCAUUACCUCGUUGCCUACUCGCACUUAACAAGGGCCCGCCCCCACCCCUCCCAGGAUCGCUUUA